ACCACAGAAGUGUUUGGCAAAACAGAAAAGGUGCUGUUGCUUUUGUAAGAAAAACAAAUCGCUCAUUUACUAAACUGGGAAACAAAUGCUAAUCCUUUCUCAGGGGUUUCUUUUGAACAUUCAUCAUAAUUUUCCAGAAGUUUCAUACACUCUGGUAAUCGGCAAAUAAAAGAAGUGCCUGUGCGUCUGGCUCCCUAAUUCAGCCCCAAAGGCUCCUUCAAAGCAGAUCUUGUGUGCUGCAGAUUUUUAGAGUGAGGAUUAUCAGCAGAAGACAAAAACAUGAGGAAACCAGAGACAUCUAGUCCCAGCUGAAGUUGGAAAACAAAUCUGAGACCUGAACACAAUGGCUUUUUCUGCAGUGUCAUGCUACAGCCUAGAAAGAUUUCCAAGAUUGUCAUUUCAUCAAACCCACAGAACCUUUUGGAGAAUGCAGAUGCUAUUACCUCCAUUCUUCAUAUGACAAAAAGUGAGACUCAGAAAGGAAUAGUGACUUGCUCAAAUCCCACAUCUA
Tupaia belangeri chinensis (Chinese tree shrew) is the source of this 511-nucleotide long non-coding RNA. RefSeq lists it as uncharacterized. NCBI's taxonomy places the organism in Eukaryota, Metazoa, Chordata, Mammalia, Scandentia, Tupaiidae. The record is from RefSeq and is a predicted model, not a curated record. The transcript is spliced from 4 exons.